AAAAAAUUAGUUAAAUAAAUAACGUUAGCCUGUCGCGCUUAAGUUGUCUUAUGGACAUUUUUUU
RNAcentral lists this transfer RNA (64 nucleotides) under Panulirus argus (Caribbean spiny lobster). RNAcentral describes it as "tRNA-Asp". Lineage: Eukaryota; Metazoa; Arthropoda; Malacostraca; Decapoda; Palinuridae. The record is from RNAcentral.